AAACAUUUCUGCCGCAUUGAAGGUCCCAAUGAGCACAUUUACUCCGUCAUCCGUAAAUAGAAGAAGUCUGGAACCAGCAGGACUCUUCCUAGAGCUGGCCGCCCAGCCAAACUGAGCAAUCGGGGGAGAAGGGCCUUAGUCAGGGACGUAAUAAGGCUGUAAGAUAACAAAAUGUGGGAAAAGUGAAGCGCUGUGAAUACUUUCCGGAUGCACUGUAGAUAGACGGCUAGACAGAUAAACAGAUAUUCAUGUAGAUCUACAAACAGAGAGACAGAUAUAUGUAUGAUACUGCAAAACCAAUUCACAAAUUCCAAAACAACAUGGUUGACAGCCAUCACGUGGGAGCACACGAGGAAUGUGCGUGAAACAGAAGACCUCCAGAACAUUCAAAACGGAAGCUUCCCCUUGUCCCUGUGAUGGUGAAGAGCGAUUACGUUGGGAGAAGAUUUUCAUCAUGAUGGAGGACUCACACGUGAUGCAGAAGAUUCUCCUCCAGGCCAAUGAGGAGUUGAAGAUGGAGAUCUCCUCACUGAGAAACCACAUCCAGAAGAUCUCCCGUGACAUCUCCACUUCCUGUCGCAGAGUCAUGGAGGAGACCUGCAGGUCCAUGAACGUGCAGCAGAACCUCAGAGCGGACCAGAACACAACCCGGCUAACACGAGAUGUCCAGCAGAACGUUACUGUACAGCAGCUGGAGGAGACGGAGGAGGUGAGGAAGAGAGAGGACAUGAAGGAUUUGAAGAACGUGGAGAUGACAGAGAUGGACAAAUCUGAGAAGAUGGAGGAGAGUGACAAAUGGUGGAGAUGGACAAAAUGGAGAUUUUGGAGAUGAUGAAGAACUCAGAAUGAAAGAUGACUGGAGUGAUAAUUAUGAUUAAAUCUAUGUGUGUUUCUCUUUGUUCAUGUGCAUGUGCCUGCCAUGUUUACUGUAUUUCUCUGAGGAGCUUCACCACGCUGUUCCUCAUAAGAAGCUUCACGGUGACUCAAAGGCAUUUAGACGUGAUGAUGAUUUCAGACUUUAUAAAACAACUAUGUCAUUUCCAACAUUAUCAUUUUCCUUGUGUUUUAUUUUCACUAUGAGUUUUAUUUCUACCAUUAUAUUUAAAGUCGAGUGUAUCUCCUUGAGUUUGCACCUCCUCAGGAUAAAAUGGGGGGGA
This is a long non-coding RNA of Ictalurus punctatus (channel catfish), 1157 nucleotides long. The record is from Ensembl. NCBI's taxonomy places the organism in Eukaryota, Metazoa, Chordata, Actinopteri, Siluriformes, Ictaluridae.